GUCUACACACACUUCAUAAAAGUCUUCCUCAGCCGGGAUGACACUGGAGAGCCUCGGUGCAGAUCGCAUAAUCAAAGCAGCGGCGAAUGGCUGGAGGCGAACUUCAGAGGCUUUUCUGCCCUUGUCUCCUUCCAUGACCUGCAAGAGCUGUAUUCAAAGUUUUCGGCGCUGGAAGCCUUGCCACAUUUGACAGUGAGACAGCUUGCAGAAGUCUCGUCCACACCAGGUCAGCUCACUUCUCCGGGUCAGGUUGGCAUGGUGAUGGCCCAUGUCCCAAACCA
Lampris incognitus (smalleye Pacific opah) is the source of this 281-nucleotide long non-coding RNA. RefSeq lists it as uncharacterized. The transcript is spliced from 3 exons. The record is from RefSeq and is a predicted model, not a curated record. Lineage: Eukaryota; Metazoa; Chordata; Actinopteri; Lampriformes; Lampridae.